This 440-nucleotide long non-coding RNA is filed under the name Anas platyrhynchos (mallard). Its description in RNAcentral is "lncRNA (ENSAPLG00020010274.1)". Lineage: Eukaryota; Metazoa; Chordata; Aves; Anseriformes; Anatidae. The record is from RNAcentral.
AAAAUGUGUGUAUGACUAAGAGCAUCAUCAGCACUCUAGGGGUGGUUGAAUAUUUGCUGCUCUAUUAUGUCCUCCCCUCCACUGUGUGGGUGAUGCCCCGUUUGGGCCAGCAUUUGAAGGACAGAAUAGGCUCUGGUCUUGCUGCUAUACCUUGGAGCUCACUCACCACCCAGGGAUGCAUGGCGAAACUGUUUGGACAACAGCCCCAUUUGAUGUUAUUCCAGUUGCUUUUGUCUCAGUUUAUGAGUGCGUGCCUUGAGACUCUGGAAUCUGAUUUACAAAAGCACUGCAUAUUCACGGUUGCCAAGAGGAGUUGUGCUUUGAAAAUACAAAAUGCUGCACCAUGCUCAAGAAUGCUAAACUGCUGGGAGCUGUGAGUUAGGCACACAAAACUUCAUGGUUUUCACCUUAACCCAUCUGCCUCUGGGCUUCCCAUCAAG